Molecule: unclassified non-coding RNA, 316 nt
Filed under: uncultured Thelephoraceae
Lineage: Eukaryota; Fungi; Basidiomycota; Agaricomycetes; Thelephorales; Thelephoraceae
Description: sequence contains ITS2
Source: RNAcentral
AACGCACCUUGCGCCCUUUGGCUAUUCCGAAGGGCAUGCCUGUUUGAGCAUCAUAAACAUCUCAACUCUCAUGGUUUCCCGUGAUGAGAUUGGACUUUGGGGGUCUUGUUGGCUUGUGUUCAGCUCCCCUCAAAUCUAUCAGCUUCCCAGUGUUUGGCGGCAUCACAGGUGUGAUAAAUAUCUACGCUUGUGGUUCUUUGCCAGGUCUGUCCUCUCCUUGUGGAGGGCUCACUGGAGCUUAUAGAUGUCUCUCCUUGGUGGAGACAGCUGUUUGAAGUUUGGUCUCAAAUCAGGUAGGAUUACCCGCUGAACUUAA